UACGGGGGGGGCAAGCGUUGUUCGGAAUUACUGGGCGUAAAGGGCUCGUAGGCGGCCAACUAAGUCAUACGUGAAAUCCCUCGGCUUAACCGGGGAACUGCGUCUGAUACUGGAUGGCUUGAGAUUGGGAGAGGGAUGCGGAAUUCCAGGUGUAGCGGUGAAAUGCGCAGAUAUCAGGAGGAACACCGGUGGCGAAGGCGGAUCUCUGGGCCAUUACUGACGCUGAGGAGCGAAAGCGUGGGGAGCGAACAGG
Molecule: ribosomal RNA, 253 nt
Filed under: uncultured bacterium
Lineage: Bacteria
Description: partial 16S ribosomal RNA
Rfam family: Bacterial small subunit ribosomal RNA
Source: RNAcentral